Molecule: small RNA, 100 nt
Filed under: Klebsiella pneumoniae
Lineage: Bacteria; Pseudomonadati; Pseudomonadota; Gammaproteobacteria; Enterobacterales; Enterobacteriaceae
Description: partial RtT sRNA
Rfam family: RtT RNA
About the family: This family represents a bacterial cis-regulatory element known as RtT RNA. The exact function of RtT is unknown although it is thought that it may be involved in changing the cellular response in relation to amino acid starvation.
Source: RNAcentral
UAUUCUGCCCUACAGGGAAGGAUGAGAAGCUUCGAUUAAGGUUCGACUCGAGCGAAGCGAGAGAACGUUGCCGCAGGCAACGGCCCGAAGGGCGAGGCGC